AAACAUUAUGCUGUCUAGAAUGAAGAAAAAUGCAGUGAAGAGACCCCUGAUGUAAUGAGUUUUCAGAAUUACAGAGACAAAGAUGCAUAUCAGGAAGAUGACAGAAAUGGAUGGGAUAAUAUCACCACACAGUUGCAGGCAUCAUUUUAUAGUACAGACAAUUGACGUAUUUUCGGGAGAAAGAAUGAACGUGGCAUACGGCAUACCAAAAAUGAUCACUGAGGAGGUGAAGGCCACCACCAGGUCAGAAAAACAGGCCUCAGUUUUGAUCUGUUUGUGAUUAAUUAAUUAGUACGAGCUUAUGGAGAUGACCCAGACAGUCUGAGGAGUGGAGAACUAUUACAUGUGAAAGCGUGAACAGAAGUGGGACAUAUUUAGAGUCAAGGCUGGAUUUCUGGCAAGGAUGAUGCAGGAUUCGAAGGAGAACCAGCAGAGAGACUUCAGGUGGGUCAUGGGCUGAAGAUAAGAGAGCCAAGGGAAGUAGGGGACUGGAUAGGUCAGUUCUCUUAUUCAUCUGGUAAGGCCUGGAGAGCAGAGAAUAGAAUAG
RNAcentral lists this long non-coding RNA (547 nucleotides) under Felis catus (domestic cat). RNAcentral describes it as "lncRNA (ENSFCAG00000051125.1)". Lineage: Eukaryota; Metazoa; Chordata; Mammalia; Carnivora; Felidae. The record is from RNAcentral.